Molecule: ribosomal RNA, 506 nt
Filed under: uncultured bacterium
Lineage: Bacteria
Description: bacterial SSU rRNA
Rfam family: Bacterial small subunit ribosomal RNA
Source: RNAcentral
CUACGUGCCAGCAGCCGCGGUAAUACGUAGGUGGCAAGCGUUGUCCGGAAUUAUUGGGCGUAAAGCGCGCGCAGGCGGAUUGGUCAGUCUGUCUUAAAAGUUCGGGGCUUAACCCCGUGAUGGGAUGGAAACUGCCAAUCUAGAGUAUCGGAGAGGAAAGUGGAAUUCCUAGUGUAGCGGUGAAAUGCGUAGAUAUUAGGAAGAACACCAGUGGCGAAGGCGACUUUCUGGACGAAAACUGACGCUGAGGCUCGAAAGUGUGGGUAUCAAACAGGAUUAGAUACCCUGGUAGUCCACACAGUAAACGAUGUAUACUCGCGGUUUGCGAUAGACAGUAAGCCGCCAAGCGAAAGCAUUAAGUAUACCACCUGGGGAGUACGCCGGCAACGGUGAAACUCAAAGGAAUUGACGGGGGCCCGCACAAGCGGAGGAACAUGUGGUUUAAUUCGAUGAUACGCGAGGAACCUUACCCGGGCUUGAACUAACGGUGACGAAUCUAGAGAUAG